CCAGACUCCUACGGGAGGCAGCAGUGGGGAAUAUUGCACAAUGGGCGGAAGCCUGAUGCGGCAACGCCGCGUGCGGGAUGACGGCCUUCGGGUUGUAAACCGCUUUCGCCUGUGACGAAGCGUGAGUGACGGUAAUGGGUAAAGAAGCACCGGCUAACUACGUGCCAGCAGCCGCGGUGAUACGUAGGGUGCGAGCGUUGUCCGGAUUUAUUGGGCGUAAAGGGCUCGUAGGUGGUUGAUCGCGUCGGAAGUGUAAUCUUGGGGCUUAACCCUGAGCGUGCUUUCGAUACGGGUUGACUUGAGGAAGGUAGGGGAGAAUGGAAUUCCUGGUGGAGCGGUGGAAUGCGCAGAUAUCAGGAGGAACACCAGUGGCGAAGGCGGUUCUCUGGGCCUUUCCUGACGCUGAGGAGCGAAAGCGUGGGGAGCGAACAGGCUUAGAUACCCUGGUAGUCCACGCUGUAAACGGUGGGUACUAGGUGUGGGGUCCAUUCCACGGGUUCCGUGCCGUAGCUAACGCUUUAAGUACCCCGCCUGGGGAGUACGGCCGCAAGGCUAAAACUCAAAGGAAUUGAGGGGGCCCGCACAAG
This 587-nucleotide ribosomal RNA is filed under the name uncultured bacterium. RNAcentral describes it as "bacterial SSU rRNA". It matches the Rfam family "Bacterial small subunit ribosomal RNA", at positions 331 to 929 of the family's 1533-position model. The record is from RNAcentral.